GGCCAGUGAUGCAUGAAAAUAUUUGCUACUCUUGAUGGGUUUUUCCUAUUUGAUGAUUUUUUAUCCACCAAGAUCUCUGAGGCU
Molecule: small nucleolar RNA, 84 nt
Filed under: Trifolium pratense (red clover)
Lineage: Eukaryota; Viridiplantae; Streptophyta; Magnoliopsida; Fabales; Fabaceae
Description: snoRNA SNORD24
Rfam family: Small nucleolar RNA SNORD24
About the family: U24 is a member of the C/D class of snoRNA which contain the C (UGAUGA) and D (CUGA) box motifs. C/D box snoRNAs have been shown to act as methylation guides for a number of RNA targets.
Source: RNAcentral